UAUAUACUCUUUCCGUCCCAAAAUUCUUGUCUUAGAUUUGUCUAAAUACGAAUGUAUCAAGUCACGUUUUAGUAUUAGAUACAUCCACAUCUAAAAAAAUCUAAGACAAAAAUUUUGGAACAGAGUACUUU
Non-coding RNA from Triticum aestivum (bread wheat), 131 nucleotides. Lineage: Eukaryota; Viridiplantae; Streptophyta; Magnoliopsida; Poales; Poaceae. The record is from Rfam.